Molecule: ribosomal RNA, 497 nt
Filed under: uncultured bacterium
Lineage: Bacteria
Description: partial 16S ribosomal RNA
Rfam family: Bacterial small subunit ribosomal RNA
Source: RNAcentral
GAUGAACGCUGGCGGCGUGCCUAAUACAUGCAAGUCGAGCGAACAGAUGAGGAGCUUGCUCCUCUGACGUUAGCGGCGGACGGGUGAGUAACACGUGGAUAACCUACCUAUAAGACUGGGAUAACUUCGGGAAACCGGAGCUAAUACCGGAUAAUAUAUUGAACCGCAUGGUUCACUAGUGAAAGACGGUUUUGCUGUCACUUAUAGAUGGAUCCGCGCCGCAUUAGCUAGUUGGUAAGGUAACGGCUUACCAAGGCAACGAUGCGUAGCCGACCUGAGCGGGUGAUCGGCCACACUGGAACUGAGACACGGUCCAGACUCCUACGGGAGGCAGCAGUAGGGAAUCUUCCGCAAUGGGCGAAAGCCUGACGGAGCAACGCCGCGGGAGUGAUGAAGGUCUUCGGAUCGGAAAACUCUGUUAGUAGGGAAGAACAAAUGUGUAAGUAACUGUGCACGUCUUGACGGUACCUAAUCAGAAAGCCACGGCUAACUACGUG